GGAAUCUUGGUCAAUGGGCGCAAGCCUGAACCAGCGAUGCCGCGUGAGUGAUGAAGGCCUUCGGGUUGUAAAGCCCUGUGGGGAGGGACGAAAGUGCGCGUUCUAACAGGGCGCGUUUUGCCGGUACCUCCUUAGCAAGAACCGGCUAACUCUGUGCCAGCAGCCGCGGUAAGACAGCGGGUGCAAACGUUGCUCGGAAUCACUAGGCGUAAAGGGCGCGUAGGCGGGGAGAUAAGUCGGGCGUGAAAGCCCCAGGCUCAACCUGGGAACUGCACUCGAAACUGUCUUUCUUGAGUAUCGGAGAGGAAAGCGGAAUUCCUGGUGUAGAGGUGAAAUUCGUAGAUAUCAGGAGGAACACCAGUGGCGAAGGCGGCUUUCUGGACGGUAACUGACGCUGAGGCGCGAAAGCGUGGGGAGCAAAC
Molecule: ribosomal RNA, 422 nt
Filed under: uncultured bacterium
Lineage: Bacteria
Description: bacterial SSU rRNA
Rfam family: Bacterial small subunit ribosomal RNA
Source: RNAcentral